CAAUCCUCAAGCCUGGCUUGGUAUUGGGGCCUGCUGUUACCGGCAGCCCUUAAAAUCAGUGGCGGUGCCAUCUGGCUCUAAGCGUAGUAAUACUCCUCGCUACAGGGCCUGGUGUGGGUGCCUGCCAUCAACCCCUAAUUUUCUAA
RNAcentral lists this unclassified non-coding RNA (146 nucleotides) under uncultured Leohumicola. RNAcentral's name for it is "sequence contains ITS2". Lineage: Eukaryota; Fungi; Ascomycota; Leotiomycetes. The record is from RNAcentral.